Long non-coding RNA from Pipistrellus kuhlii (Kuhl's pipistrelle), 541 nucleotides. RefSeq lists it as uncharacterized. Lineage: Eukaryota; Metazoa; Chordata; Mammalia; Chiroptera; Vespertilionidae. The record is from RefSeq and is a predicted model, not a curated record. The transcript has 3 exons.
AGUUUAGGGCCCCUGAGGUCGCAAGUGAUUUUCCUGGCUUUGCCAUUUACUAGCUGAAACAAGAACAAUUUUUACUUUAAGAGUUAUAUAAGGUAAGUGCUUAGAAAGUAACUGACAUAGUAAAUCUGUUGCUAAGCAUCAUUAUAGAUAAAUACAAGGGUUAAGACAAUUUCAGGUAGUGGUAAGGAUGAGAAAAAAAAGUGAAAAAUUCAGAUGGUGAUAUGUACUAUGAAAUAAAUGUUAACAGGGCUGCAUUACAGAGGGAAAGUGAAGACUUGGUCAGGGAAAACUGCUCAGUAUUUAAGAUGAGAAUCUGAGAGGGCAAGCCAUGGGAUUGCCUUGAAGUUUUAAGCAAAUGAACACGUUACAAAGGUCCUGAGGUGGAAGUACCUUUUAAGUUAACAGUAACAGGGCUAUGGGUUUAGCAGAGAAAAUAAGCAAAGAAGAUGUGAUUGGAGAGGUAGAAAGGUGCAAAUCAGAUAAAGGAAGCUUGUUAGUAAGACUUUGUCUUAAUUGUAUUAUUUAUAUUUAAAUAUAUCUG